This 468-nucleotide ribosomal RNA is filed under the name uncultured bacterium. RNAcentral's name for it is "bacterial SSU rRNA". It matches the Rfam family "Bacterial small subunit ribosomal RNA", at positions 335 to 803 of the family's 1533-position model. The record is from RNAcentral.
ACUCCUACGGGAGGCAGCAGUGAGGAAUAUUGGUCAAUGGAGGGAACUCUGAACCAGCCAUCCCGCGUGUAGGAAGACGGCCUUAUGGGUUGUAAACUACUUUUAUACAGGAAGAAACGUACCCUCGUGAGGGUGCCUGACGGUACUGUAGGAAUAAGCACCGGCUAACUCCGUGCCAGCAGCCGCGGUAAUACGGAGGAUCCAAGCGUUAUCCGGAAUCAUUGGGUUUAAAGGUCCGUAGGUGGACGAUUAAGUCAGAGGUGAAAUCUUGCAGCUCAACUGUAAAAUUGCCUUUGAUACUGGUUGUCUUGAGUUAUUAUGAAGUGGUUAGAAUAUGUAGUGUAGCGGUGAAAUGCAUAGAUAUUACAUAGAAUACCAAUUGCGAAGGCAGAUCACUAAUAAUAUACUGACACUGAUGGACGAAAGCGUGGGUAGCGAACAGGAUUAGAUACCCUGGUAGACUGUCAU